GAUCAUAACAUGUUGAGAAUUCAUAGUAAUCAUAAUGGUAAGGGGGCGACUGAAGGUUCCAGUGGCGAGGAAAGUCCUGAGCCCCAUGAGGCUGGUUUCGGUCAAGGUAGCCGCGGUCAAAGAAGACGCUUGGAAGAUCGG
This is a long non-coding RNA of Helianthus annuus (common sunflower), 141 nucleotides long. RefSeq lists it as uncharacterized. NCBI's taxonomy places the organism in Eukaryota, Viridiplantae, Streptophyta, Magnoliopsida, Asterales, Asteraceae. The transcript has 3 exons. The record is from RefSeq and is a predicted model, not a curated record.